GUAUAGGGAAUAUUAAAGUUGUUGCAGUUAAAAAGCUCGUAGUUGAACCUUGGGCCUGGCUGGCCGGUCUGCCUCACCGCAUGUACUGGUUCGGCCGGGUCUUUCCUCCUGGGGAUCCGCAUGCCCUUCACUGGGUGUGUUGGGGAACCAGGACUUUUACUUUGAGACAAUUAGAGUGUUCAAAGCAGGCCUUUGCUCGAAUACAUUAGCAUGGAAUAAUAGAAUAGGACGUGCGGUCCUAUUUUGUUGGUUUCUAGGACCGCCGUAAUGAUUAAUAGGGAUAGUCGGGGGCAUCAGUAUUCGAGUUGCUCAGAGGUGAAAUUCUUGGAUUUACUGAAGGACUAACUACUGCGAAAGCAUGUUGCCAAGGAUGUUUUCAUGAAUCAGUGAACGAAAGUUAGGGGAUCGAAGACGAUCAAGAUACCGUCGUAGUCUUAACCGUAAACUAUGCCGGCUAGGGAUCGGGCGAUGUUAUUCUUUUGACUCGCUCGGCACCUUACGAGAAAUCAAAGUCUUUGGGUUCUGGGGGGAU
This 532-nucleotide ribosomal RNA is filed under the name Lasiodiplodia parva. RNAcentral's name for it is "SSU rRNA". It matches the Rfam family "Eukaryotic small subunit ribosomal RNA", at positions 592 to 1123 of the family's 1831-position model. The record is from RNAcentral. Lineage: Eukaryota; Fungi; Ascomycota; Dothideomycetes; Botryosphaeriales; Botryosphaeriaceae.